CUGCUUUCCUGCCAACUAACCUUCUACUAACCAACCCAACUUCAGUUGGUUACUUCUCUUUUCUCUUGAAACACAGCAAUCAUAGCCGCCCCAAUGGCGAUAAUGGAAGAGCAAUCGGCGAUCAACUCAACCUCGUCUCCGCUAGAUUCAUACGCCGCGGUGGUUCUCGGCGGCACUUUCGACCGCUUACACGACGGCCACCGCCUCUUCCUCAAGGCUGCGGCCGAGUUGUCCCGGGAACGAGUCGUAGUUGGUGUUUGCGCUGGCCCAAUGUUGACCAAGAAGAAGUAUGCUGAUUUAAUAGAGCCAAUUGAGCAAAGAAUGCAAAAUGUUGAAAAUUACAUUAAGAGCAUCAAGGCAGAGCUGGUUGUACAAGCAGAGCCGAUUGUCAAUCCUUAUGGUCCUUCAAUCAUUGAUGAGAAUUUGGAGGCUAUUGUAGUCAGCAAGGAGACAUUACCCGGUGGAUUAUCUGUCAAUAAGAAGAGGGCUGAGAGAGGUCUUUCACAACUAAAGAUUGAAGUUGUAGAUCUACUCUCUGAAGAAUCGAGCGGAGACAAACUGAGUUCCACUGCUUUGAGAGAGCUAGAAGCCAAGAAGCUCACGAACACUCGCCCAGAAGGUGGUAUGAACUCGUGACAUCAUUCCAUGGAAGAUAGAACAAUAUCAUUACAAUAAACUUAUUUUCCAGAAACUACAUUCAAUCAAUCAUCUCGAGGCAACAUCUUUGCUCUUACCUGAAAGCUUUUUUGCUUGGAGGACAACACAGAACACAGUAUCAUAAUAAUCCCUGUCGUUUAGUAUCAUCAGCACGAUGGAAGAUCCGCUGGAGGAGGUAGAAUGUUGUGAUCAGAACCCGGUCCGUCUUCUACUACAAACGCAGUCUUCAGCCCCCACCCUGUAUGAAGCUCCAAAUGGCAGUGGAAAAACCACACCCCUGAAGAAAUGUUCAAAAGAUAAGCCAAGAAUGAAGGAUUUCAAGACUAGCUAAGUUGAUCAAGUUAUUCAACUAGCUAAAUUAAGCCGUCCAUUGACUUUCUUGAUUUAAGUCGAUCAACUAUGGACAAUCUAAGCUGAACACACUUUCGAAUAGUGAUUACGGGUUUCUUUCGUUA
Ipomoea nil (Japanese morning glory) is the source of this 1112-nucleotide RNA transcript. It is a transcript of the gene named phosphopantetheine adenylyltransferase-like, with no coding region annotated. The transcript is spliced from 8 exons. NCBI's taxonomy places the organism in Eukaryota, Viridiplantae, Streptophyta, Magnoliopsida, Solanales, Convolvulaceae. The record is from RefSeq and is a predicted model, not a curated record.